Molecule: long non-coding RNA, 232 nt
Organism: Eurytemora carolleeae
Lineage: Eukaryota; Metazoa; Arthropoda; Copepoda; Calanoida; Temoridae
Exons: 4
Source: RefSeq, a predicted model, not a curated record
UCAGAUAUUAAAGGUUGAAAUAGAGGAUGGUGCACAAAGCGCCCUAAAAGCAUUUUUAAACCUCCCUAACACCCAAACUAUUAAGUGAAAAUGCAUUGCCUAUUAGUAAACUGGGUCUCUCACACCACAAAAUUAGGAAUUUAGAGGAAUUGAAGGAGUUCAAAAAUUCACUGUAAGAUGAUGAUUACUUUGACCAGUACUUAACUUUGAUUGUACAUCUUGGAGAUAUUAU